UACGUAGGGUGCAGGCGUUAAUCGGAAUUACGUGGCGUAAAGCGUGCGCAGGCGGUCUGUUAAGACCGAUGUGAAAUCCCCGGGCUUAACCUGGGAACUGCAUUGGUGACUGGCAGGCUUUGAGUGUGGCAGAGGGAGGUAGAAUUCCACGUGUAGCAGUGAAAUGCGUAGAGAUGUGGAGGAAUACCGAUGGCGAAGGCAGCCUCCUGGGCCAACACUGACGCUCAUGCACGAAAGCGUGGGGAGCAAACAGG
Molecule: ribosomal RNA, 254 nt
Filed under: uncultured bacterium
Lineage: Bacteria
Description: partial 16S ribosomal RNA
Rfam family: Bacterial small subunit ribosomal RNA
Source: RNAcentral